This 492-nucleotide ribosomal RNA is filed under the name uncultured bacterium. RNAcentral's name for it is "partial 16S ribosomal RNA". It matches the Rfam family "Bacterial small subunit ribosomal RNA", at positions 29 to 507 of the family's 1533-position model. The record is from RNAcentral.
AGUGAACGCUGGCGGUAGGCCUAACACAUGCAAGCCGAACGGCAGCACAGUAAGAGCUUGCUCUUACGGGUGGCGAGUGGCGGACGGGUGAGGAAUAUAUCGGAAUCUACUUUUUCGUGGGGGAUAACGUAGGGAAACUUACGCUAAUACCGCAUACGACCUACGGGUGAAAGCAGGGGAUCUUCGGACCUUGCGCGAUUGAAUGAGCCGAUGUCGGAUUAGCUAGUUGGCGGGGUAAAGGCCCACCAAGGCGACGAUCCGUAGCUGGUCUGAGAGGAUGAUCCGCCACACUGGAACUGAGACACGGUCCAGACUCCUACGGGAGGCAGCAGUGGGGAAUAUUGGACAAUGGGCGCAAGCCUGAUCCAGCCAUACCGCGUGGGUGAAGAAGGCCUUCGGGUUGUAAAGCCCUUUUGUUGGGAAAGAAAAGCAGCAGGUUAAUACCCCGCUGUUCUGACGGUACCCAAAGAAUAAGCACCGGCUAACUUCGUG